UACGAAGGGGGCUAGCGUUGCUCGGAAUCAUUGGGCGUAAAGGGCGCGUAGGCGGCCAGAUUUGUCAGGCGUGAAAAUCCUGGGCUCAACCCAGGGACUGCGUUUGAAACUGUCUAGCUAGAGUUCAGUUAGGGUAAACGGAAUUCCACGUGUAGCGGUGAAAUGCGUAGAUAUGUGGAAGAACACCGGUGGUGAAGACGGUUUACUGGGCUGAUACUGACGCUGAGGCGCGAAAGCAUGGGGAGCAAACAGG
RNAcentral lists this ribosomal RNA (253 nucleotides) under uncultured bacterium. RNAcentral's name for it is "partial 16S ribosomal RNA". It matches the Rfam family "Bacterial small subunit ribosomal RNA", at positions 524 to 776 of the family's 1533-position model. The record is from RNAcentral.